RNAcentral lists this long non-coding RNA (262 nucleotides) under Carica papaya (papaya). Its description in RNAcentral is "long non-coding RNA (CPAP_LNC002992)". The record is from RNAcentral. Lineage: Eukaryota; Viridiplantae; Streptophyta; Magnoliopsida; Brassicales; Caricaceae.
AAACCUUAAGUGCAUGAAUUGUCCCACACUCUGAUAAGUCCAUUCACAUAGUGAAAGAAGUGGCUCUUUUGUAUUUUGAUAUUUUGUAUUUCGUUUCCACUUCUGGCCUCAGUUAUAUGUGUAAUUGGAACUCAUAUAUUUUGUAAGAGAUUUGUAAUCAUUUGCUCUGUUGGAUAUAAUUAACUAUUAUGCACUCGUAAUCUAUUUCUGUAUCUGGCACCCUUAUGCCUUAAUUUGCAUUUGGGAUAUCACAGAUGGUAUC